GUUGCGUGUAGUUCAGUUGGUCAGAACGCCGGGUUGUGGCCCCGGAGGUCAGCGGUGGCUGGAAGCUGCGCUGCAGUUGCGAGCCCGCUCACGCACCCCA
Molecule: transfer RNA, 100 nt
Filed under: Clostridia bacterium
Lineage: Bacteria; Bacillati; Bacillota; Clostridia
Description: tRNA-His
Rfam family: tRNA
About the family: Transfer RNA (tRNA) molecules are approximately 80 nucleotides in length. Their secondary structure includes four short double-helical elements and three loops (D, anti-codon, and T loops).
Source: RNAcentral